GACUACCGAUAAAAUUUUCCAACGUGUGAAGAUAACUGAGGACCGUCUCUCUCAGGAAUGGCAUCAUCACUUGUGCUCGCUAGAGGUUGUAAGCAUUGGUGAGAGGACAUAUGUGCAACAUCUUGUGUGUUACCGCUUCUCGGUGCGGCUGCAACAUUUAAUCAAUACAAACAUGCCUUGUGCUCCUUUGAUUCAUAAAAUGCUGGAUGUCUCGCUAAUCUGAGCCAGAGAGGAACAUAUAUUUGCAGCUGACCUUUGACUGGAAGGCGUGGAAGAUCGCUGUACUUGCUUUGCAGUUGAGGAGUACAAAACCAGUAAUGCAAAUGUUCAGUUUCUGGCAUGCAAAUCGGCAGGCGAGGUGGUAGCACACCUGCCUGUUCAGUGCCCAACACAUCAUGCGUGCAGAGGAAGCAAGCAGAGGGUGAUCCUGGUGUAGUUCUCCACAAACAAGGAUUCCUCCAAAGAGAAGCCUCCUUUCCUCCAGGUGUUGGCGUGGAUGCGUGCGAGAAGAGGAUGACAGGCGUGCGCGGCUGGUUGUACGCAAUUAGCACCUGCUAG
This 558-nucleotide long non-coding RNA is filed under the name Cairina moschata (Muscovy duck). RNAcentral describes it as "domestica (muscovy Duck (domestic type)) lncRNA (ENSCMMG00000011483.1)". The record is from RNAcentral. Lineage: Eukaryota; Metazoa; Chordata; Aves; Anseriformes; Anatidae.